GUGGGGAAUAUUCCGCAAUGGACGAAAGUCUGACGGAGCAACGCCGCGUGAGUGAUGAAGGUUUUCGGACUGUAAAGCUCUGUUGUUUAGGACGAAAGUGCCUGUUGCAAACAGUUACAGGUAUUGACGGUACUAAACGAGGAAGCCACGGCUAACUACGUGCCAGCAGCCGCGGUAAUACGUAGGUGGCAAGCGUUGUCCGGAAUUAUUGGGCGUAAAGAGCAUGUAGGCGGGAAUCUAAGUCUGUUGUGAAAAUGCGGGGCUCAACCCCGUAUUGCGAUGGAAACUGGGUGUCUUGAGUGCAGGAGAGGAAAGGGGAAUUCCCAGUGUAGCGGUGAAAUGCGUAGAUAUUGGGAGGAACACCAGUGGCGAAGGCGCCUUUCUGGACUGUGUCUGACGCUGAGAUGCGAAAGCCAGGGUAGCGAACGGGAUUAGAUACCCCUGUAGUCC
RNAcentral lists this ribosomal RNA (450 nucleotides) under uncultured bacterium. Its description in RNAcentral is "partial 16S ribosomal RNA". It matches the Rfam family "Bacterial small subunit ribosomal RNA", at positions 354 to 796 of the family's 1533-position model. The record is from RNAcentral.